UGCGUAGGCGGUCUCUCAAGUCUGGCGUGAAAGCCCAAGGCUCAGCCUUGGAAGUGCGCUAGAAACUGAGAGGCUUGAGUGCCGGAGGGGAGAGUGGAAUUCCCGGUGUAGCGGUGAAAUGCGUAGAUAUCGGGAGGAAUACCGGUGGCGAAAGCGACUCUCUGGACGGCAACUGACGCUGAGGCACGAAAGCGUGGGGAGCAAACA
This 207-nucleotide ribosomal RNA is filed under the name uncultured bacterium. RNAcentral describes it as "partial 16S ribosomal RNA". It matches the Rfam family "Bacterial small subunit ribosomal RNA", at positions 568 to 774 of the family's 1533-position model. The record is from RNAcentral.